AACGAACGCUGGCGGCAUGCCUAACACAUGCAAGUCGAACGAACCCUUCGGGGUGAGUGGCGCACGGGUGCGUAACGCGUGGGAACCUGCCCUUAGGUUUGGAAUAACGUUUCGAAAGGAACGCUAAUACCAAAUAAUGUCUUCGGACCAAAGAUUUAUCGCCUUUGGAUGGGCCCGCGUAGGAUUAGCUAGUUGGUGGGGUAAAGGCUCACCAAGGCGACGAUCCUUAGCUGGUCUUAGAGGAUGAUCAGCCACACUGGGACUGAGACACGGCCCAGACUCCUACGGGAGGCAGCAGUGGGGAAUAUUGGACAAUGGGCGAAAGCCUGAUCCAGCAAUGCCGCGUGAGUGAUGAAGGCCUUAGGGUUGUAAAGCUCUUUUACCAGGGAUGAUAAUGACAGUACCUGGAGAAUAAGCUCCGGCUAACUCCG
Molecule: ribosomal RNA, 431 nt
Filed under: uncultured Lutibacterium sp.
Lineage: Bacteria; Pseudomonadati; Pseudomonadota; Alphaproteobacteria; Sphingomonadales; Sphingomonadaceae
Description: bacterial SSU rRNA
Rfam family: Bacterial small subunit ribosomal RNA
Source: RNAcentral